GACGAACCGUGCGAACGUUAUUCGGAAUCACUGGGCUUAAAGCGCGUGUAGGCGGGAGGGUACGUCCGUCGCUGAAAUCCCCCGGCUCAACCGGGGAACGGGCGCGGAUACGGCCUUCCUGGAGGGGCGUAGGGGGACCUGGAACUUCCGGUGGAGCGGUGAAAUGCGUUGAGAUCGGAAGGAACGCCCGUGGCGAAAGCGAGGUCCUGGACGCCUACUGACGCUGAGACGCGAAAGCCAGGGGAGCGAACGGG
RNAcentral lists this ribosomal RNA (254 nucleotides) under uncultured bacterium. Its description in RNAcentral is "partial 16S ribosomal RNA". It matches the Rfam family "Bacterial small subunit ribosomal RNA", at positions 524 to 776 of the family's 1533-position model. The record is from RNAcentral.